This is a long non-coding RNA of Lathyrus oleraceus (garden pea), 475 nucleotides long. RefSeq lists it as uncharacterized. The transcript is spliced from 4 exons. The record is from RefSeq and is a predicted model, not a curated record. Lineage: Eukaryota; Viridiplantae; Streptophyta; Magnoliopsida; Fabales; Fabaceae.
AUUCAGGUUUCGUUAACGCGUUUGGUCUCUUCUAUUGUCGUCGUGUCUGAGACUUGGUAGUGGAAGCUGCGUUCAUCCUUCAUCUUUGUUGUUCUAGAUUUUGGAGGUUCUGAAUGCUCCUCGAUUGGAGGUUUGGCGUGGUAAUUGUGGUUGAGUCUGAGAUUGAAGCUAUUUAGAAUAUCCUUAGUUAUUCAUCUGAUUAGAGGCAGAGGCUUGGUUGUCAUUGCUUUGCAGAUUCAUGGACAUACUGCCCCUUGACAAGGGUGCUCUUUGCUCUUAUUGCGGCUUUGAUUAUUGCACUCUGUAUGAAUGUUGUUUAUGCUAUUAUCUUCCGGAUACUUGAUAGCUUCUUUGUCAUGUUGGUCUAUCUCUGAUGUUGCAUGAUUCUUGGUAGUAGGAGUACUGGGAUUUGCCUGGUUAUCUAUGUUUAUAACGUACCUAAGGUUGCUGCUAUCAAUGGGGGAUGGUUACCUUA